This 147-nucleotide ribosomal RNA is filed under the name Burkholderia cenocepacia. RNAcentral describes it as "partial 16S ribosomal RNA". It matches the Rfam family "Bacterial small subunit ribosomal RNA", at positions 1 to 143 of the family's 1533-position model. Lineage: Bacteria; Pseudomonadati; Pseudomonadota; Betaproteobacteria; Burkholderiales; Burkholderiaceae. The record is from RNAcentral.
UUGAACUGAAGAGUUUGAUCCUGGCUCAGAUUGAACGCUGGCGGCAUGCCUUACACAUGCAAGUCGAACGGCAGCACGGGUGCUUGCACCUGGUGGCGAGUGGCGAACGGGUGAGUAAUACAUCGGAACAUGUCCUGUAGUGGGGGA